This 1440-nucleotide long non-coding RNA is filed under the name Sarcophilus harrisii (Tasmanian devil). Its description in RNAcentral is "lncRNA (ENSSHAG00000022206.1)". Lineage: Eukaryota; Metazoa; Chordata; Mammalia; Dasyuromorphia; Dasyuridae. The record is from RNAcentral.
AAUGUAUUCAUUUUAUAUUACUAUAUUACAUAUAGUUACAUAUUAUGUUGUUAUUCUGUCAUAUACUAUUAUAUUAUAUACAAUUUUAUAAUUAUGUUCUCUGGGUAGAUGAGUCCCACCCACCAACAUGCAAACUCCCCCAACAACAACGUUGCCCUUUUGCUGUUUUACCCUCACCCUGAGACCAGCGGCCGGAGAACUGACCUCGAAAAGAACUUCUUCCCCAGGGCAGGGCCCCAUCAUCUUCUUCCAGCUCCUCACCCAAGGCUCUGAGACGAUGGACAAAAUGACCCGUCUGGGGCCAACAUGGGAAUGCUGCCUUCUCACCAGAGCCGGCCCUGAUGUUUAACUGGUGACAUGCUCGUCCUCCUUGGGCACCAAGCAAACAGCUGAGAUUAGCACCCGGCUAAUGAGAAGAAACAAGCUAAAACGGGGCUCUGGAGGCUGCUGCCCAUCCCAUCCUGUCCCCUCUCUGCCCAGGGAGGUCUUGUCCUGUUUCCCUCCAAGAGAAUUGUCCCAGGCCCCAAAAUGGCUAGAUCAUAGCUCUGGUUUCCAUAGAUUCAGUUCAUCACAUUAAGUAUGGACCAGAAACCGAGACUUCCUUGAGCCCAGAGCCUGACACUUUCAGAACCAGUGGGCAAAACCAGUGGGAAUGAGAAAGAUGAAUUUGAAUUCUCCCCAAAGAAACAGCCAUAGAGCUGUUCUACUCAGCCACUGAGCAGUUAGUGAAUGCCUACUGCUCCUAAGACACUUGUCAUAGAGUUUGGGGAAAAGGGAAAACUAAUGAAUUAAAAAUUAAUUUUAAAAAAUGAUCUAAUCCAUCAGUUAAAUGAUCCAUUCUGAUGAUCCGAAGGUGUUUACUGAGUGAUUACUGUGUAGGGCAAUGUGCUAACACUGGGGAUACAAAGAAAUGCAAAAACCCAGUUCCUGCCCUCAAGAAGCUUAUAUUCUGCCAGGGAAGGCACAUAUAAGCAACUAGGUAAUAUGAGAUGUAUCAGGAGGAAGAAUGGCCCAAUAAGUUCUGUAAGUCAGAGGAGGGAAAACUGAGCCAGGGCAGGCUUCAUGCAGGAGGCAGGCCUGGAGAAUGGGUGGGAUUUAGAUCCUCAGGAGGAGAAACGAGUCCAGCAUGAACAAGACUUGGGUGGAAAUGCUUAAGUGAGGAGGCCUAGGAAUGGCAGCCUUAAGGAUUUGUUUAGAGGAAAAAUGGGAAAUAAAUCUAGAAAGGAAGGGAGGUGAGUGCUAAAGCCAGGCCAUGAGGGCCUUGAGUGCUAAAAGAAGGGGCUUGGCCCCCUCUCUGAAAGGCAAUGGGGAGUUGCUGAGGUCUCAAGUAAGAACAGAGGCAGUGUCCUAGUGACAGGGCACUGGAAGACCCCAGACCUUUACUCACGGGGCAAUUCCUUAACUUGGCUGUGCCUCUGCAUUUACAAAAUGAGGAGAUCA